RNAcentral lists this ribosomal RNA (113 nucleotides) under Acanthosepion pharaonis. The record is from RNAcentral. Lineage: Eukaryota; Metazoa; Mollusca; Cephalopoda; Sepiida; Sepiidae.
UUACGGCCAUAUCACGUUGAAACACCGGUUCUCGUACGAUCACCGAAGUUAAGCAACGUCGACCCUGGUCAAUACCUAGAUGGGUGACCGUUUGGGAAUACCAGUCGCUGUAA